CGGAACGGGUAGGAGGUAACGCGUGAGGAAACCGCUCCAAAGAGGGGGACAACAGUUGGAAACGACUGCUAAUACCGCAUAAGCCCACGGCUCGGCAUCGAGCAGAGGGAAAAGGAGCAAUCCGCUUUGAGAUGGCCUCGCGUCCGAUUAGCUAGUUGGUGAGGUAACGGCCCACCAAGGCGACGAUCGGUAGCCGGACUGGGAGGUUGAACGGCCACAUUGGGACUGAGACACGGCCCAG
RNAcentral lists this ribosomal RNA (241 nucleotides) under uncultured bacterium. RNAcentral's name for it is "partial 16S ribosomal RNA". It matches the Rfam family "Bacterial small subunit ribosomal RNA", at positions 100 to 334 of the family's 1533-position model. The record is from RNAcentral.